AUCCAGUUGACGAGUCCCAAAUAAGACGAAAUGCACAUCCAGAAU
This is a non-coding RNA of Trichobilharzia regenti, 45 nucleotides long. NCBI's taxonomy places the organism in Eukaryota, Metazoa, Platyhelminthes, Trematoda, Strigeidida, Schistosomatidae. The record is from Rfam.